This 1260-nucleotide unclassified non-coding RNA is filed under the name uncultured fungus. RNAcentral's name for it is "sequence contains 18S rRNA gene, ITS1, 5.8S rRNA gene, ITS2, 28S rRNA gene". The stretch from base 386 to 1260 matches the Rfam family "Eukaryotic large subunit ribosomal RNA", at positions 1 to 961 of the family's 3401-position model. Lineage: Eukaryota; Fungi. The record is from RNAcentral.
GGAAGGAUCAUUAACAAAAAAUGAACUAAUAACUAACUGAACGUAUUAUAGUAGUGCUGUAAAGUGCUGCUAUACAUAUUGUACUACAUACUAAUACCUCAUAAACUAUUCAAUGGUUGAUAAAAACUAAAUUUUCAACGAUGGAUGUCUUGGCUCCCAUAUCGAUGAAGAACGCAGCAAGAAUGCGAUAUGCAAUGUGAAUUGCAGAACCACGAAUCAUCGGAUAUUUGAACGCAACUGGCACUAGCCAACUAGUAUACUUGUUUCAGUGUGCUCAAACAAAUAAACACAAUCUAAAUGUGGGAGAAUCUCUCCCAUUAAAUAUAUGCUCCUCGCAGCAGUCACAUUCAUAUGUGAGCUGUUAGUUGUAUACUUUACUUUAUACGCACCUGAAAUCAAGUAAGAUGACCCGCUGGACUUAAGCAUAUUACUAAGCGGAGGAAAAGAAAUUAACUAAGAUUGCCUCAGUAAGGGCGACUGAACCGGCAAAAGCUCAAAAUUAAAAUCGAAAAUUCAAAGAAUCUUCGAAUUGUAAUCAGGAAUACCUAAAUACGAAAAAUAGCUCAAUCAUGUCGAAACAUGAACCAGAGAGGGUGAAAGUCCCGUACAGUCUUUUUUCGCUCAAGGUAUUUCCAAAAAGAGUCGGGUUGCUUGGAACUGCAGCCCUAAAUGGGAGAUAUGAAUCUUCCAAAGCUAAAUAAGGAUGGGAGACCGAUAGCGAACAAGUACUGUGAAGGAAAGAUGAAAAGGACUUUGAAAAGAGAGUGAAAAGAUCUGAAAUCGUUGAGAAGGAAGCGGUAAAAACUGACGAUCAUAAUGAAAGAUCACGUAAUCCAAUUACGGAAGUCUUCUCAAAAUGAUGGGCAAAAUCAAGUCUAAUAUAUCAAAAAAGGCAACCCCGAGUAAGAUAUAAUAGGCUUGAGGGACUAUUGUGAUUUUGCCAAAAUGGUUUUUACUGUCCCGUCUUGAAACACGGACCAAGGAGUCUAACAUAUAUGCGAGUGUGCGAGUUUAAAAACUCAUACGCAAAAUGAAAGUAAAAGGUGCGCAGUAAUAACAACAGCAUCGACCGACCUAGUAAGAAAGGUUUGAGUUAUAGCAUAUCUGUUAGGACCCGAAAGAUGGUGAACUAUGCCUGAGUAGGGUGAAGUCAGGGGAAACCCUGAUGGAGGCUCGUAGCGUUGUUGACGUGCAAAUCACUCGUCAAACUUGGGUAUAGGGGCGAAAGACUAAUCGAACCAUCUAGUAGCUGGUUCCCUC